RNAcentral lists this ribosomal RNA (253 nucleotides) under uncultured bacterium. Its description in RNAcentral is "partial 16S ribosomal RNA". It matches the Rfam family "Bacterial small subunit ribosomal RNA", at positions 524 to 776 of the family's 1533-position model. The record is from RNAcentral.
GACAGAGGGUGCAAACGUUGUUCGGAAUUACUGGGCGUAAAGCGCGUGUAGGCUGCUUCGAAAGUCGGAUGUGAAAGCCCUGGGCUCAACCUAGGAAGUGCAUUCGAAACUUCGAAGCUGGAGUCCUGGAGAGGAAGGCGGAAUUCCAGGUGUAGCGGUGAAAUGCGUAGAUAUCUGGAGGAACACCGGUGGCGAAGGCGGCAUCCUGGACCGGCAUUGACGCUGAGGAGCGAAAGCCAGGGGAGCAAACGGG